CCUACGGGAGGCAGCAGUGGGGAAUAUUGCACAAUGGGGGAAACCCUGAUGCAGCGACGCCGCGUGAAGGAAGAAGUAUUUCGGUAUGUAAACUUCUAUCAGCAGGGAAGAAAAUGACGGUAUCUGACUAAGAAGCCACGGCUAACUACGUGCCAGCAGCCGCGGCAAUACGGAGGGGGCAAGCGUUAUCCGGAUUUACUGGGUGUAAAGGGAGCGUAGGCGGCGAUGCAAGUCAGAAGUGAAAGCCCGGGGCUCAACGCCGGGACUGCUUUUGAAACUGUGUUGCUAGAUUGCAGGAGAGGUAGGUGGAAUUCCUAGUGUAGCGGUGAAAUGCGUAGAUAUUAGGAAGAACACCAGUGGCGAAGGCAGCUUACUGGACUGUAAAUGACGCUGAGGCUCGAAAGCGUGGGGAGCAAACAGGAUUAGAUACCCUAGUAGUC
Molecule: ribosomal RNA, 440 nt
Filed under: uncultured bacterium
Lineage: Bacteria
Description: partial 16S ribosomal RNA
Rfam family: Bacterial small subunit ribosomal RNA
Source: RNAcentral